GACGAACGCUGGCGGCGUGCUUAACACAUGCAAGUCGAACGGAAAGGCCCUGCUUUUGUGCGGUGCUCGAGUGGCGAACGGGUGAGUAACACGUGAGUAACCUGCCCUUGACUUUGGGAUAACUUCAGGAAACUGGGGCUAAUACCGGAUAGGAGCUCCUGCUGCAUGGUGGUGGUUGGAAAGUUUCGGCUGUUUGGGAUGGACUCGAGGCUUAUCAGCUUGUUUGUGGGGUAGUGGCUUACCAAGGCUUUGACGGGUAGCCGGCCUGAGAGGGUGACCGGCCACAUUGGGACUGAGAUACGGACCAGACUCCAAUGGGAGGCAGCAGUGGGGAAUAUUGCACAAUGGGCGGAAGCCUGAUGUAGAAACGCCGGGUGCGGGAUGAAGGCCUUCUGGUUGUAAACCGCUUUCGCCGUUGACGAAGACGGAGUGACGGUAAUGGGUAAAGAAGCCCCGGCUAACUACGUG
Molecule: ribosomal RNA, 468 nt
Filed under: uncultured bacterium
Lineage: Bacteria
Description: partial 16S ribosomal RNA
Rfam family: Bacterial small subunit ribosomal RNA
Source: RNAcentral